UAGGGCACCAAUAUAGAUGAACGGAGAUGAAUGAUGAAAAUCUCCAUUCCUAUUGGUCAAAAAUCAUGACCAAUAGGCUUUGAAGAGGCUGCUCGAAGCCAUAUUAGGGAUUAGGAUUAGAUUCUCGGAGCUAUUUCAGCUUUGGAGGCUAAGAUCAGUAAGUUGAGAUUUUGGCUAUGGUUUCGGUGUAAGUUUUGUAUGGUUUGGAGUUUAUAUGAAGGAAAUAGAAGCGCUCAAAGUUAAGGUACUGAUUUGAGAGCUAUUGUCACUCUUUUUGGCAUAACGCACGUGUACGGAUAGCAAUUUCAGAUCGGUGAUCGCGACUAGAGAGAGCACUUUUGCAGUUACACUUUUUACAUAUUGUUUACUGGAUUCCAAGUUAAAAUAAAGGAGUUAUGGGAUUUUGAAGUCAACACAUGCAAUCUAAGAAAAAGUAAGUGACUGUCAUGGUCAUACUCAUAAUUACAUAUACAAAUAUGUAGAAGUAAGUAAAAGUAGGUAAAAGUAAGUUAAUUCUAUAGUAUUUGAUAUAGAAGCUUCUUAAAAGCUUCAAAGACGCUACUUUGACUUCGUAGGUGUCUUUAAUUGACUUUUUGGAUUAGAAACGUGGUCAACAA
RNAcentral lists this long non-coding RNA (617 nucleotides) under Physcomitrium patens. Its description in RNAcentral is "long non-coding RNA (PPAT_LNC004445)". Lineage: Eukaryota; Viridiplantae; Streptophyta; Bryopsida; Funariales; Funariaceae. The record is from RNAcentral.